Molecule: long non-coding RNA, 1349 nt
Organism: Mustela erminea (ermine)
Lineage: Eukaryota; Metazoa; Chordata; Mammalia; Carnivora; Mustelidae
Exons: 3
Source: RefSeq, a predicted model, not a curated record
CACAGGGGCGAGCCCUCUCACUGGGACGGAGUUUGUGAGAAGGGGGACAAUUAACCGCCUUCCACGGAACCCUGGCUUGGCCACCUAGCGCCCUGAGUUCUGCGUCAGUUCUCUCACUGAACGUGCAUGGUUGACUGAGGUCCGAACUCUUUUUAUUCCCAUUCCUCAGAUGAAGGAACUUGGUGAUCGGUCUACGACAUCUGCCACCCCCCUCACUGAUCCCCAGGGUUGACUCAGCCCACUUGGCGGACGAAGGCUAUCCCGUCGCUGUCUCACUGUCCCGUGUGCAUCCCUCCGGAAGCUGAGGCCGUCAAAAGGGAGGACCAUGCCUGAAAGAGGAGGCCCAUUCUUCCGUCGAGGGUAUGCAAGUGGCUAGUCUCCCCUGCUCUGAAGAAGGUCUCAAGGUCCAUUUGUAGGAGAACGUAGGGUAAUCACACCUUCAAGACUCCAGACACAUCCAGAUGAGGUACUACGUGUAGUCGUCUGCUAAUCGUAAGGAAGGAAGGAAAGAAGGAAGCGGAGAGGGAGGAGGCAGGGGGCUUCUAAAGUGUAAAAAUUUGGCUAAUCACUCAUAUAAGUGGUAAAGAAGGAAUUUGAAUCCAAGAGCGUCUGACCCAAAUACUGGGCUCUUAACAGACUUGGUGUCUUUCAACAGGGGUACAAGGGAGCCCCCGCGGGACUUCAGUCUGAGAAGUAGCUUCUUCAGACCCCUUUCCCCACUGCCCACCAGACACACAUACUUGCUGGCUCAGAGGAACCCCCUCCCCACCACACCCCAGGUGCAUCUUCUCCGUCAUAGGAGGAGACUGGCAAGGAAUUUCCAGCCACGGAAGGCAUGUGACCAGGUCCUUAGACUCAGAAGACUGUUGCGCAUUCUGGGGAGCCCUGAGUUGAGGGCCCAAAGCAGUGCUGGGCCACGGUCUUCAGCACCAAGGUGCCGUGUGGCCUGGACUGUUGUACGAUUAAUGAGAUCUGAAGGCUCUUCCUGACCGGCUUUCUGCGAGGCUGACCUUCCAGGGGCUGGAGAUGCGCAUGCCAGCUGGACACAGAUAAGGGAAGACAUCUGACCAGCCUCUCAGCACUCCCCCUUGCCUACAUCAGUGCUUGAAAUUACUUCCACUGAAGACGAUCAACUCUCCAGGAAGGUGUCAGGCUCCUCCUGUGGCUUCAUAGACACCUCAGGCUCCCUGCCACCAACCUCUGGGCACUCGGGGCUGGAAACUUGAGAAUGCUGGUGCCAUCCCUCAGUGGGCAGGACCUCUGACUUUCCACCUCUGACCUCCCUGUCCAAGCGUGUCGCCUUUUCGCUCUGGUGAUGACGCCAGCUGGAAGUGACCACUCCUCUCUCA